RNAcentral lists this ribosomal RNA (464 nucleotides) under uncultured bacterium. RNAcentral's name for it is "partial 16S ribosomal RNA". It matches the Rfam family "Bacterial small subunit ribosomal RNA", at positions 28 to 507 of the family's 1533-position model. The record is from RNAcentral.
GACGAACGCUGGCGGCGUGCUUAACACAUGCAAGUCGAACGGAAAGGCCCAGCUUGCUGGGUGCUCGAGUGGCGAACGGGUGAGUAACACGUGGGUGAUCUGCCCCUAACUUCGGGAUAAGCUUGGGAAACUGGGUCUAAUACCGGAUAGGACAAUCGUUUAGUGUCGGUUGUGGAAUGUUUUUUCGGUUAGGGAUGAGCCCGCGGCCUAUCAGCUUGUUGGUGGGGUAAUGGCCUACCAAGGCGUCGACGGGUAGCCGGCCUGAGAGGGUGGACGGCCACAUUGGGACUGAGAUACGGCCCAGACUCCUACGGGAGGCAGCAGUGGGGAAUAUUGCACAAUGGGCGCAAGCCUGAUGCAGCGACGCCGCGUGGGGGAUGACGGCCUUCGGGUUGCAAACCUCUUUCGACAGGGACGAAGCUUUGGUGACGGUACCUGUAUAAGAAGCACCGGCUAACUACGUG